Amphibalanus amphitrite is the source of this 2297-nucleotide long non-coding RNA. RefSeq lists it as uncharacterized. The record is from RefSeq and is a predicted model, not a curated record. Lineage: Eukaryota; Metazoa; Arthropoda; Thecostraca; Balanomorpha; Balanidae. The transcript has 2 exons.
AAAAUAAUUUGAUUUUGGUGCACUGUUUUAGUUUUAUCGCAGUCUUUCUCAACAACAAAAUUGUUUGUUAUUAAACGCAUCAUUUUCCAAAACUAAAUUAUGCUGUAUUACGCCAAGAGUUACAAGGAAAAUAAAUCAUCUUAACAUUGAAGAAGAUCAAAUAUGACCGUCACGUUGCCAUGGCGUGGGCGCAUUAAUACAGAGAUCGGACCCUUUUUAGUUAACCUGCCCUAGGCAGGUGGCGAUGCCUCAACUUUCCAGAGCCUUCGUCGAUGGCCUGAGGGCACGUUACCGCGACCUGCAGUGUGACCUCUCAGAGACGGCGUCCCACUCGGUCACUCUUGAGUCCUCAACGACAUUCAGCUCUCGCAGCACAAAGUCGAGAAAGGCACUAGCCGGGAAAAGGACGGCUAGCGACUCGGGCAGCAAGAGAUUCAGCACUUAUGGCGGUAAGAGGUCGAGGUCCAAAUCACUGGCACCAGGCGCGGAGAAUUUACCGAAUCUGAAGUCUGACGACAAAGAUGCAAGUUCCAAGGAUAGUGCUGGUGAGGCAAAGAAGGAGGGGUUCGCUGCCAAAAUAAUGGCUCUUCUCAGUCGUAUAUGUCCGUGUAUGAAGAAGAAGUAACCACGUCCCAUUCGAAAAGGCCGCUAUUCCGCAGAACCAUCCUCUCAAAAUGAGGUGCGUGUAUUAUUGCGAUGGAGUUGGUUUUUAUUGUUUUUGUUGAGUGUUAUGUUUUUAUUGCAAUGUUCCAUUUUAAUAAAACAAAGGCUGAGUAAAUGCCAGUUUGAACAUGCCAGCUACGAUCACCGUAACAUUUCCUAAAUGAUCUAACUUCAUUUAUUUAUAAAUUCACUUUUUAUGAUUAAGUUUCUACAAGAUAGCGAUAGAGCAUAGUGCAUAAAGCGUAUAGCAAAAAGUGCUGUUACGUGAAAAGCGAGUAACAUGAUAAUCUUCUGCACGUUUCUAGAUCAAUAAAAUCAAGACCUCUUUGGGAGGUUUUUGCAAAGUUUGUCGUGUUUUCGGAUCAAAUUACGUCGUAAUUUUAAUUUACACAGCUUUGCGCCAAUCCACUUCAAAUAAGUGCCAUUAUUGAUAUUUCACUCAUCUUCCUUAAAAAUAGAAGAAGCGCUAAAGCAAAGUUUUUAUCAUUGGGUUGUAAUGCCAAGUUUAUCCCCAGCGCCAAUUCAUCGGACAGCAUCAAACACAGUUUGCAGACCGUCUAUCGCUUCUUUACGUCACAUCUGUCAAGACUGCCUGGUCAGCGGCGCUGUCUGUGUUUCGCCAGCUCUACCUCAGACUUUCUGCCAUCCGUUCUCACUCCAAGCCAUGAUCUGCCGAUGUGGGAUCUGUCGUCGUCUGUUCGCCGCCCUUUGUCCCUGCUUCCCAGCCUGCUGCUACCUCUGCCGCCGCGCGCGGCGACCGAAGCGCCGCGUGGUGGUCGAAACGCGAACUGUUGACCCGGCCCUCUACACGGUUCCACCGGAGGCAAAUCAAGGUCCUCAGAAUGAUCGCAGUGACCCCAGCGAACCCCGAGAGCCCAUCGCGCCCCUGGAAAACGUAACAGCAGUGGUGACCGCCGAGAUGAAGGAAGAAAAACCGAGAAAACGUUGGGAUCAAAACCGGAAACCUGCCUGGACGCAGCAGAGAUCUGGUCAGGGUGUCACCUGAAGUGAGCGCUCAGAUGACUGAAUUUCAAGUCACCAAGAUCUUCGAAGCUCGGGUUUACGGGAGCUGCUGCGACCUUUCUUGGGACCAUGCCUCGUGUGAUCGCCAUAUCAGAGGUUUUCCUUCGUCUCGAGCAAGGCUCGACUAUUUGGAUACGAGUGUGGAUGUUGCAAAAGAGUGCAAGGACUGGUGUGUUGAAGUCGGACAUUACGCCUUUCUAUAUCUUAGAACGGUGAAUGACGAUUGGAGAAUUUGGUGUCUGAUGAUCGACCAGCUAGGUUAGAUUUGUGUAUCCAGAUAUCAAGUUGCACAGAAACAGAAACCGUCAGUUUAAGUGCUAUGGUAAAGUGAAUUAACUAAAGCGUUAAGCAGACUGUGCUAAAAAGUGAUUCAACUUAUCGACUUCUUGGCAGUCUGUUUCGGGCUUGCUGCACAGUGGAAUCAUUCUAGCGCUUUAAUGUACUGGCUUUCCUGUAAACUGUAAAGUGUUUUUUUCUGUAAAGUCUUGUUCGUCGUUCUUGUGUUUUGGUUUGCUCCGUCCUCGGUUAUAGUUCUCGUUGCUGUUUUUAAGAAUUCAACCUCUGUUCUACAUCGUGUUUAAUCAUUCAUGAGAUAAACUGUGGCACGAGAA